UGGGGAAUAUUGCGCAAUGGGCGAAAGCCUGACGCAGCGACGCCGCGUGAGGGAUGAAGGUUUUCGGAUCGUAAACCUCUGUCAGAAGGGAAGAAACCGCACUGUGCUAAUCAGCAGUGCAUUGACGGUACCUUCAAAGGAAGCACCGGCUAACUCCGUGCCAGCAGCCGCGGUAAUACGGAGGGUGCAAGCGUUAAUCGGAAUUACUGGGCGUAAAGCGCACGUAGGCUGCUUUGUAAGUCAGGGGUGAAAUCCCACGGCUCAACCGUGGAACUGCCUUUGAUACUGCUUAGCUUGAAUCCGGGAGAGGGUGGCGGAAUUCCAGGUGUAGGAGUGAAAUCCGUAGAUAUCUGGAGGAACAUCAGUGGCGAAGGCGGCCACCUGGACCGGUAUUGACGCUGAGGUGCGAAAGCGUGGGGAGCAAACAGG
This 429-nucleotide ribosomal RNA is filed under the name Fusobacteriota bacterium. RNAcentral describes it as "Fusobacteria bacterium partial 16S ribosomal RNA". It matches the Rfam family "Bacterial small subunit ribosomal RNA", at positions 355 to 776 of the family's 1533-position model. Lineage: Bacteria; Fusobacteriati; Fusobacteriota. The record is from RNAcentral.